CCCAAGUUUAGUGAAGAACCUGAAGUCUCACAAAGAUCAGGAGCAAUAUGUUUUACAUGUCCUUGGCCCGAAUGGGCCGAUGAGGAAAUUACUGAUAAAAUUUGGGAACUGGAUCAAGAGGAUCUUGCAAGGGUUGCAGAUUUAGGUGCAGAUGCCACAAACAGCAGUGUGCCGCAUUUUGAAGAUCCCGAUAACGUAUUUUUGCCUCAAUCUAUUUGUGAGAAUGUCGUGGAGUGGAAAAGAGCAACAGAGAUAUACACUUUGGAUCAAUUGGUGGUUUAUGAUCCAACUGCAUCACCUUAUUCAAAUUUAACAACCGCCAACAAACAUAUAGUACAAUCGGAGUUCAUGAGAG
Ctenocephalides felis (cat flea) is the source of this 355-nucleotide long non-coding RNA. RefSeq lists it as uncharacterized. The transcript has 3 exons. The record is from RefSeq and is a predicted model, not a curated record. NCBI's taxonomy places the organism in Eukaryota, Metazoa, Arthropoda, Insecta, Siphonaptera, Pulicidae.